UGGGGAAUCUUGCACAAUGGGCGAAAGCCUGAUGCAGCGACGCCGCGUGGGGGAUGAAGCUUCUCGGAGUGUAAACCCCUUUCGACCCGGACGAAUGCCCCGCAAGGGGACUGACGGUACGGGUAUAAGAAGCCCCGGCUAACUACGUGCCAGCAGCCGCGGUAAGACGUAGGGGGCCAGCGUUGCUCGGAAUUACUGGGUGUAAAGGGUUCGUAGGCGGUGUGGCAAGUCGGGAGUGAAAUCUCUGGGCUCAACCCAGAGACUGCUUCCGAAACUGCUGUGCUUGAGUGUGGGAGAGGCGCGUGGAAUUGCAGGUGUAGCGGUGAAAUGCGUAGAUAUCUGCAGGAACACCCGUGGCGAAAGCGGCGCGCUGGACCACUACUGACGCUGAGGAACGAAAGCUAGGGGAGCAAACAGGAUUAGAUACCCUGGUAGUCCUAGCCCUAAACGAUGUGUGCUAGACGUUGGGGAGCGCAGCUCUUCGGUGUCGCAGCAAACGCUUUAAGCACACCGCCUGGGGAGUACGGCCGCAAGGUUA
This 538-nucleotide ribosomal RNA is filed under the name uncultured bacterium. Its description in RNAcentral is "bacterial SSU rRNA". It matches the Rfam family "Bacterial small subunit ribosomal RNA", at positions 355 to 896 of the family's 1533-position model. The record is from RNAcentral.